AGUGAACGCUGGCGGUAGGCCUAACACAUGCAAGUCGAACGGCAGCACAGUAAGAGCUUGCUCUUACGGGUGGCGAGUGGCGGACGGGUGAGGAAUACAUCGGAAUCUACUUUUUCGUGGGGGAUAACGUAGGGAAACUUACGCUAAUACCGCAUACGACCUACGGGUGAAAGCAGGGGAUCUUCGGACCUUGCGCGAUUGAAUGAGCCGAUGUCGGAUUAGCUAGUUGGCGGGGUAAAGGCCCACCAAGGCGACGAUCCGUAGCUGGUCUGAGAGGAUGAUCAGCAACACUGAAACUAGGACACGUUCCAACCCCCUAGGGGAGGCAGCGGUGGGAAUUAUUGGACAAGGGGGGAAGGCCUAACCCGGCCAUCCGGCGUGGGUAAGAAGGGCCUUCGGGUUGUAAGGCCCUUUUGUUGGAAAGAAAAAAAGGCAGGUUAAAACCCGGCUGUUUGAAGGGACCCAAAGAAUAAGCCACGGCUAACUUCGGG
This 491-nucleotide ribosomal RNA is filed under the name uncultured bacterium. RNAcentral describes it as "partial 16S ribosomal RNA". It matches the Rfam family "Bacterial small subunit ribosomal RNA", at positions 29 to 507 of the family's 1533-position model. The record is from RNAcentral.